GUCCACGCCGUAAACGAUGAUAACUAGCUGUCCGGGCACUUGGUGCUUGGGUGGCGCAGCUAACGCAUUAAGUUAUCCGCCUGGGGAGUACGGUCGCAAGAUUAAAACUCAAAGGAAUUGACGGGGGCCUGCACAAGCGGUGGAGCAUGUGGUUUAAUUCGAAGCAACGCGCAGAACCUUACCAGCGUUUGACAUCCCGCGCUACCCAGAGAGAUUUGGGGUUCCCUUCGGGGACGCGGUGACAGGUGCUGCAUGGCUGUCGU
RNAcentral lists this ribosomal RNA (263 nucleotides) under uncultured bacterium. RNAcentral describes it as "partial 16S ribosomal RNA". It matches the Rfam family "Bacterial small subunit ribosomal RNA", at positions 793 to 1055 of the family's 1533-position model. The record is from RNAcentral.